AUGAACUCUUCUCCAGGACCAGUGGUUGUGCUAUUCUUAAUGCUUGGAGGAAGCAAUGGAGACUCGGUGAUGCAGACAGAAGGCCAGGUGACCCUCUCUGAAGGGGCUUCCCUAACUGUGAACUGCUCCUAUGAAACCAAACAGUACCCUGCUCUUUUCUGGUAUGUUCAGUAUCCUGGUGAAGUUCUGCAGCUCCUCUUUAGUGUCUCAAAGGCCAACGAGAAGGGAAGCAACAAAGGUUUUGAAGCCACAUACAGUAAGGAAACCACCUCCUUCCACUUGAAGAAAGCCUCAGUGCAAGAGUCAGACUCAGCUAUGUAUUACUGUGCUCUGAGUGACACAUUAAAAAUGGGCAAAGAAUGUUAA
Molecule: non-coding RNA, 366 nt
Organism: Galeopterus variegatus (Sunda flying lemur)
Lineage: Eukaryota; Metazoa; Chordata; Mammalia; Dermoptera; Cynocephalidae
Source: the annotation of a RefSeq genome assembly